CUGAGCUCAAUCUCAGGUUGAUGUCACACUAGACCUUGGUGACUUGGCCCCACUUUUAUAAUAAGGAGGAAAAGCAGGCAAAGGACCUGAGUAGAAUCCACUCCUGCCAAAGUCCAGAUUGGUCUCUGGUGAAAGUUACAUCCAGCUCUAUCCACCUCUCACAAACUUUCUCCUGUACAACAUCAGCAAAACUGAAGAGCUGAUUAUUGUCUACAGGAGGAAGCAGCCGGAUGUCCAUGAGUCAGUCUUCAUUAGGGGAUUGAAAAUGGAAAGAGGCUUGGACACCGGGUCCUAGAGGCACACAGCAUGGAAAGCACUGUCUUGCUGGAAGCAAUUAAUACAGGACUGAAGACACAAGUCAGGUAACUCAUUACACG
Molecule: long non-coding RNA, 377 nt
Organism: Hypanus sabinus (Atlantic stingray)
Lineage: Eukaryota; Metazoa; Chordata; Chondrichthyes; Myliobatiformes; Dasyatidae
Exons: 3
Source: RefSeq, a predicted model, not a curated record